Long non-coding RNA from Zingiber officinale, 1560 nucleotides. RefSeq lists it as uncharacterized. The record is from RefSeq and is a predicted model, not a curated record. NCBI's taxonomy places the organism in Eukaryota, Viridiplantae, Streptophyta, Magnoliopsida, Zingiberales, Zingiberaceae. The transcript is spliced from 3 exons.
UAAAUACCGAUUCUUCCCCCUCUCCUCUUUGGCGAUCAACAGCGCCGCCAGCCCCUUCCUCUUCCUUCCCUCGUUGCUUUUUUGUUUCUCUUCACUUGUUCUUGGAAUUUUAUUCGGUUCGGAAAUCUUUUCUUGGGAACCUGAUGAGCGUGCAAAUGUCGCCCCAGUCUUACGAUCCUUUCGUACUUUCGAUCGGGUUAUCAAUGGUAUCUGAUGCUCUGUUAAUUUUAUGGCUGAGCUUCUCGUAAGUGUGGCAGAGAUGGAAGGGAAGAACAGGCCUUGCGACACAGGAUGCUCAUUUUUUGAAGUGUGCUUCCUGUUACUAAAUCCUGUUUACAUCUCUGAACUUUUUUUAAAAAAUAAAUUUGGGGAUAAAAAUGAUUCUGUAUAGUUGAAUUCUAAUAGUUAUAUAUUUAAAUUUGAAUUUUGAACAGUUAUGGAGUGCUAAAUUAUUAUAUGAAUAUUUUGAAUUAAUUAAUUAUUAAAAAUGAACUCUGAUGAUGAUUUCCUAUAAUGGAUUUGUAUAUUUAGUUGAAAAUAUUUAUAUUAUUUUGUAAAAUGUUAAUGUUUUAAUUCAUGUAUGAAUUUUGAUAAAAUCUACCACAAUCCAGAAACUGCACUGAGCACUGAGCACUGAGAGGACUCUCCAAUCACAAGGAACAUAGGAAUGAACAUUAUAGGUACGCAGAACUAUUUGGUCAGAAAGGCACAAAUUCAGAUGAAUUUGAGACGUCACAUUAGAAAAAUGAUAUGCUCAAGAACAAAAUAUCAAACAUUCUUAUCUACUUGUUAGUUGCUGCAUUAGAUUCUUGACUUGCAUUGCUAGAUUCAGCUAUGGCUGUUUGCUUGACCCAUUGUAAAAUUGGAGCCCCCAUUUCAAUAUCUGGGCGGAUCCUUAAGAGCCAGAUUGCAGUGUUUGUAGUGCAAAUUGGCCCAACUAAGCCCCUCAGAUUAAGGCUGUAAAUAUAAACAAGUUUGAUGUGUUCUUUCAUAAAAUGCUUUUAUGUUUGUUUAAUAUUAAAAAAACUAUACAAAAUAAAUCAACUUCAUUUUGUUAUGUAUUUAUUAAUUGUACCAUUUUCAAUCUAGAUGACUUAAUUGCAAUACCUGAUAAGGGAACCUUCUCUUACCAUAUUUCAUUAUAAUCGUAGAUUGAGAAAGGCUACAGAUAUGCAUAUGUGUGUAGUAACUGCGACUUAGAUUUGAAGCUAUUGCCUGGGACUUAGUUUUAAAGCGCUUGGGGCUAUGGUUCAGUAGAAGAAUUACUGGGCAUUUAAGAUUUGAUCCUAGUUUUGAUGUUUUUUAAGGAAUUUUUCUUUCAUAUGGACAUCAACUAUGGGAGGAUGAGCUUUUGAGUCGACUUCAUUGAUCAUCCAAAAUUUAGUGUUACUUGGUUUAAUUUUUUUUAAUGGUACAUAUUGGCUCAUAUGCUAUUUUAUUCUUUACCAAGUGUAACUGGGGAAUGUAUAAUAUCUUAUUGCAAUCCACCUGUGCUUUAGAGAAAGUGCAAAAGUAUCUACAUAUUUGGCCAUGCAUGAAAGGGAAUGACAUAAUCCAUAA